RNAcentral lists this long non-coding RNA (338 nucleotides) under Homo sapiens (human). RNAcentral describes it as "HSALNT0297354". The record is from RNAcentral. Lineage: Eukaryota; Metazoa; Chordata; Mammalia; Primates; Hominidae.
CCACGAACACAUUCAUGUCCCAGAUGCAGCUCUAAUGCAAGUUCUCUGAUGUUAGGUCAUUUAUCUUCACCAGGUAACAAGAACACAACUAUACAUCCUGACUGAUACACAUGUACACAUAUGAAGAUCAAGAUAAAAAGACUGAAAGAGUUUAUUACUCAUGAGGCCUGACUUACAAGAAUUGCGAAGUUGAAGUGAAAGAAUACUAGACAGCAACACCAAAACAUAUGAAAAUAUAAAGCUCUUUGAUGGAGAUAAAUAUAUGGACAAAUACGGAAUCCUGUAAUUUGUAAUGGUGAUGCAUAAAUAAAUUUAAAUUCAGGUAUAAAAUUUAAAAU